AUGGUAUUAAACAUUAACAAUGAGAAAGCGGGAGCGGAGAGCGGACCCCAGAGAGCCCUGUGAAGCCCCACCGCCGCCGCCGGCCUAGUUACCAUCACACAUCGGGAGGAGCCGCAGCUGCCGCAGCCAGCCCCAGUCACCAUCACCAUAACCCUGAGCAGCGAGGCAGAGACCCAGCAGCCGCCCGCCGCCCCCGCCCUCAGCGCUGCCGACUCCAAGCCCAGCACCACAGGCAGCGUAGGGAGCGGUGGCCCCAGUGGCCUCACAUCGGAGGCGCCUGCCGGCGGGGACAAGAAGGUCAUCCCAACGAAGGUUUUGGGGACAGUAAAAUGGUUCAAUGUAAGAAACGGAUAUGGUUUCAUCAACAGGAAUGACACCAAGGAAGACGUAUUUGUACACCAGACUGCCAUAAAGAAGAAUAACCCCAGGAAGUACCUUCGCAGUGUAGGAGAUGGAGAAACUGUGGAGUUUGAUGUUGUUGAAGGAGAAAAGGAUGUGGCGGCAGCAAAUGUUACAGGCCCUGGUGGAAUCCAGUUCAAGGCAGUAAAUAUGCAGCAGACUGUAACCAUCACCGACGCUAUCCAUGUCGCCGGGGUCCUCCACGCAAUUACCAGCAGAAUUAUCAGAACAGUGAGAGUGGGGAAAAGAAUGAGGGAUUGGAGAGUGCUCCUGAAGGCCAGGCCCAGCAACGCCGGCCCUACCGCAGGCGAAGGUUCCCACCUUACUAUGUGCGAGACCCUGUGGGCGUGGACCACAGUAUUCCAACCAUCCUGUACAGGGAGAAGUGAUGGAGGGUGCUGACAACCAGGGUGCAGGAGCACAAGGUAGACCACCAGAAAGACAGAAUAUGUAUCCGGGUUAUAGACCACAAUUCCGCAGGGGCCCUCCUCGCCAAAGACAGCCCAGAGAGGACGGCAAUGAAGAGGAUAAAGAGAAUCAAGGAGAUGAGACCCAAGGUCAGCAGCCGCCUCAACGUCGGUACCGCCGUAACUUUAAUUACCGACGCAGACGCCCAGAAAACCCUAAACCACAAGAUGACAAAGAGACAAAAACAGCUGAUCCACCAGCUGAGAAUUCGUCCGCUCCCGAGGCUGAGCAGGGCGGGGCUGAGUAAAUGCCGGCUUACCAUCUCUACCAUCGUCCGGUUUAGUCAUCCAACA
Molecule: RNA transcript, 1160 nt
Organism: Propithecus coquereli (Coquerel's sifaka)
Lineage: Eukaryota; Metazoa; Chordata; Mammalia; Primates; Indriidae
Gene name: nuclease-sensitive element-binding protein 1 pseudogene
Exons: 2
Source: RefSeq, a predicted model, not a curated record